UUAGCGUACAUUAAAUACUACCGCGUUUGACUGGCAGUCAAAAGGCCACGGGUUCGAAUCCCGUAUUCUCCA
RNAcentral lists this transfer RNA (72 nucleotides) under Chryseobacterium sediminis. Its description in RNAcentral is "tRNA-Ala". It matches the Rfam family "tRNA". From Rfam's summary of the family: Transfer RNA (tRNA) molecules are approximately 80 nucleotides in length. Their secondary structure includes four short double-helical elements and three loops (D, anti-codon, and T loops). Lineage: Bacteria; Pseudomonadati; Bacteroidota; Flavobacteriia; Flavobacteriales; Weeksellaceae. The record is from RNAcentral.